This 467-nucleotide ribosomal RNA is filed under the name uncultured bacterium. Its description in RNAcentral is "partial 16S ribosomal RNA". It matches the Rfam family "Bacterial small subunit ribosomal RNA", at positions 28 to 506 of the family's 1533-position model. The record is from RNAcentral.
GACGAACGCUGGCGGCGUGCUUAACACAUGCAAGUCGAACGGAAAGGCCCUGCUUUUGUGGGGUGCUCGAGUGGCGAACGGGUGAGUAACACGUGAGUAACCUGCCCUUGACUUUGGGAUAACUUCAGGAAACUGGGGCUAAUACCGGAUAGGAGCUCCUGCUGCAUGGUGGGGGUUGGAAAGUUUCGGCGGUUGGGGAUGGACUCGCGGCUUAUCAGCUUGUUGGUGGGGUAGUGGCUUACCAAGGCUUUGACGGGUAGCCGGCCUGGGAGGGUGACCGGCCACAUGGGGAUGGAGAGAGGGCCAAGGCCCCGGGGGGGGGCAGGGGGGGGGAAUAUUGAAAAAGGGGGGGAAGCCUGGUGGAGGAACGCCGGGGGGGGGAAGACGGCCUUGGGGUUGUAAACCGCUUUGGCCGGGGACGAAGGGUGGGGGGGGGGAAGGGGAAAAGAAGCAGCGGAGAAUUAGGU